GCAUAUCAAUAAGCGGAGGAAAAGAAACCAACCGGGAUUGCCUUAGUAACGGCGAGUGAAGCGGCAAAAGCUCAAAUUUGAAAUCUGGUACCUUCGGUGCCCGAGUUGUAAUUUGGAGAGGGCAACUUUGGGGCCGUUCCUUGUCUAUGUUCCUUGGAACAGGACGUCAUAGAGGGUGAGAAUCCCGUGUGGCGAGGAGUGCGGUUCUUUGUAAAGUGCCUUCGAAGAGUCGAGUUGUUUGGGAAUGCAGCUCUAAGUGGGUGGUAAAUUCCAUCUAAAGCUAAAUAUUGGCGAGAGACCGAUAGCGAACAAGUACAGUGAUGGAAAGAUGAAAAGAACUUUGAAAAGAGAGUGAAAAAGUACGUGAAAUUGUUGAAAGGGAAGGGCAUUUGAUCAGACAUGGUGUUUUGUGCCCUCUGCUCCUUGUGGGUAGGGGAAUCUCGCAUUUCACUGGGCCAGCAUCAGUUUUGGUGGCAGGAUAAAUCCAUAGGAAUGUAGCUUGCCUCGGUAAGUAUUAUAGCCUGUGGGAAUACUGCCAGCUGGGACUGAGGACUGCGACGUAAGUCAAGGAUGCUGGCAUAAUGGUUAAAUGCCGCCCGUCUUGAAACACGGACC
RNAcentral lists this ribosomal RNA (615 nucleotides) under uncultured yeast. Its description in RNAcentral is "eukaryotic LSU rRNA". It matches the Rfam family "Eukaryotic large subunit ribosomal RNA", at positions 38 to 667 of the family's 3401-position model. Lineage: Eukaryota; Fungi. The record is from RNAcentral.